This 1401-nucleotide ribosomal RNA is filed under the name uncultured archaeon. RNAcentral's name for it is "bacterial SSU rRNA". It matches the Rfam family "Archaeal small subunit ribosomal RNA". The record is from RNAcentral.
AGGUCACUGCUAUUGGGAUUCGACUAAGCCAUGCGAGUCGAGAGGGUUCGGCCCUCGGCUGACGGCUCAGUAACACGUGGAUAAUCUGCCCUAAGGUGGAGGAUAACCUCGGGAAACUGAGAAUAAUACUCCAUAGGUCUAGGAUGCUGGAAUGCGCCUAGGCUGAAAACUCCGGUGCCUUAGGAUGAGUCUGCGGACUAUCAGGUUGUAGUCAGGGUAAAGACCUGACUAGCCUACGACGGAUACGGGUUGUGAGAGCAAUAACCCGGAGAUGAUAUCUGAGACACGAUAUCAGGCCCUACGGGGCGCAGCAGGCGCGAAAACUUCACACUGCGCGAAAGCGCGAUGAGGGAUUUCCUAGUGUAUGCACGUAAGUGUAUACUGUGGGGGGGGGGGGGAACGCACCCCCCAGUAAGAGCUGGGUAAGACGGGUGCCAGCCGCCGCGGUAAUACCUGCAGCUCGAGUGGUGAUCACUAUUAUUGGGCCUAAAACGUCCGUAGCCGGUCUUAUAAAUGCCUGGGUAAAUCGUGCCGCUUAACGGUACGAAUUCCGGGUAGACUGUAAGACUUGAGACCGGGUGAGGCUAGAGGUACUCCUNGGGUAGANGUGNAANUCUGUNAUCCUANGGGGACCACCAGUGNCGAANGCGUCUAGCUAGAACGGGUCUGACGNUGAGGGACGAAGNCCUGGGGCGCGAACCGGAUUAGAUACCCGGGUAGUCCAGGGUGUAAACGCUGCUUGCUUGAUGUNAGNCGGGCUCCGAGCCCGAUUAGUGUCGGAGUGANGAUGUUAAGCNAGCUGCCUGGGAAGUACGGUCGCAAGGCUGAAACCUAAAGGAAUGGGCGGGGGAGCACAGCAACGGGUGGAGCGUGCGGUUUAAUUGGAUUCAACGCCGGAAAACUCACCGGAGGCGACGGUUACAUGAAGGCCAGGCUGAUGACCUUGCUCGAUUUUCCGAGAGGUGGUGCAUGGCCGCCGUCAGUUCGUACCGUAAGGCGUUCUGUUAAGUCAGACAACGAACGAGACCCUCAUCUCCCCCCGCAACUGGUAAGUUCGCUUACUGGGCACAUUAGAGAGACCGCUGGCGAUAAGUCAGAGGAAGGCGAGGGCAACGGUAGGUCAGUAUGCCCUGAAUCCUCCGGGCUACACGCGCGCUACAAAGGCCAGGACAAUGGGCUUCGACACCGAAAGGUGAAGGUAAUCUCGAAACCUGGUCGUAGUUCGGAUCGAGGGUUGUAACUCACCCUCGUGAAGCUGGAAUCCGUAGUAAUCGCGGAUCAACAUCCCGCGGUGAAUAUGCCCCUGCUCCUUGCACACACCGCCCGUCAAACCAUGCGAAUCGGGUGUAAGUGAGGAUGUAAUUUUUGUUACAUUCAAACUUAUGCUUGGUAAGCGGGGUU